UGAAAGUAUAAAACAUGUCCAAUGAUCAUACGAUAUUCAUUACAGAUCCAGUUAGGCUCUGCUUACUAAACAUUAUACAUAAAACUUCAAAUACAAAAAUUUUGGCAUUGCCAAAAGUUGUGGACUUUCAAGAGUGCAUGUAUGUAUGUACAUAUGUAUAUUUCUUUAUACAUAUUUUGAUAUCCACAAAAAAGUGCUCGCUCAAGAAAAACAAAUCUGAUUUGAUUACGAAAAUUUAAAUAGGUUUUUCUAAGGAAGUUGAAGUUAGGAAAGUUAAAAAGCUAAGUACUUCUGAAAGCAUACAUUUGCUACCAGUUCUAAAUUUCCUUUCUAAAUUUCGCGUAUAGUAACAACAAAUCAUCAUAUGACGGAUAUCGCAGCGUCAUGGAAAGCAUUGACGGUAGUGAAAGACACCGUCCGUUUUAGCGAUCAUUAUUAAAACGUUAUUAUAAUGUACAUAUGUAUAUACAUUACAUAAAAAUAUUAAAAUACAUUUUUCAGCCUCUUAGCUAAGUGUUUAUUUUUUUUUUUGCUGUUCUCGAUUUUUUUUUUACAUACAAGGAUUUAGUUCUGAAUAAAUAAUAUUGAUUUAUACCAGCUGAAUUCAUGGUUGGAUGUUGGCUUUAACCUUCUUAAAUUAUGUAUAUGUUAAAUCGUUAACGUAAUUACAAAACA
Molecule: long non-coding RNA, 675 nt
Organism: Drosophila nasuta
Lineage: Eukaryota; Metazoa; Arthropoda; Insecta; Diptera; Drosophilidae
Exons: 2
Source: RefSeq, a predicted model, not a curated record